UUCUCCCACCUGAGCUGUGGAUCUCUGCAGCUCCGCCAGAGUUACCAUGGGGCUCUUGGCUGCUUCUCUGAUCAAUGCUCUCUUUGCCCGGCCCGUCAGUUUAGGUGGACGGCCAUGUCUUGGUAGGUUUGGAGUUGUGCCGUGCUCUUUCCAUUUUGGAUGAUGGAUUGAACAGUGCUCCGUGAGACGUUCAAAGCUUGGGAUAUUUUUUUUAUAACCUAACCCUGCUUUAAACUUCUCCACAACUUUAUCGCUGACCUGUCUGGUGUGUUCCUUGGGCUUCAUGAUGCUGUUUGUUCACUCUAACAAACCGCUGAGGCCUUCACAGAACGGCUGUAUUUAUACUAAGAUUAGAUCACACACAGGUGGACUCUAUUUACUAAUUAGGUGACUUCUGAAGGCAAUUGGUUGCACUGGAUUUUAUUUAGGGGUAUCAGAGUAAAGGGGGGCUGAAUACUUUUGCAUGCCACACUUUUCAGUUUUUUUAUUUGUAAAAAAAAUUGAAAGCCACGUUAUCAUUUUCCUUCCACUUCACAAUUAUGCGCCGCUUUGUGUUGGUCUAUCACAUAAAAUCCCAAUGAAAUACAUUCACAUUUGUGGUUGUAACGUGACAAAAUGUGGAAAAGUUCAAGGGGUAUGAAUACUUUUGCAAGCCUCUGUACAUAUUUUAGUAACUAAUUUCAGAAACACUUGAUGUUCCAC
Molecule: long non-coding RNA, 702 nt
Organism: Sander lucioperca (pikeperch)
Lineage: Eukaryota; Metazoa; Chordata; Actinopteri; Perciformes; Percidae
Exons: 4
Source: RefSeq, a predicted model, not a curated record